GUAGGUGAACCUGCGGAAGGAUCAUUAUUGAAAUAAACCUGAUGGGUUGUUGCUGGUUCUCUCGGGAGCAUGUGCACGCCUUGUCAUCUUUAUAUCUCCACCUGUGCACCUUUUGUAGACCUUACAAGGUCUAUGUUGCUUCAUUUACCCCAAUGUAUGUUGAUAGAAUGUCGUCCUAUAAAAUAUAUACAACUUUCAGCAACGGAUCUCUUGGCUCUCGCAUCGAUGAAGAACGCAGCGAAAUGCGAUAAGUAAUGUGAAUUGCAGAAUUCAGUGAAUCAUCGAAUCUUUGAACGCACCUUGCGCUCCUUGGUAUUCCGAGGAGCAUGCCUGUUUGAGUGUCAUUAAUAUAUAUCAACCCUUCUCUUGUUGAAUGGUUUGGAUGUGGGGGGUUUGCUGGUCUCUUAUAUAGGGUUCAGCUCCCCUGAAAUGCAUUAGCAGAAUAACCUGUUCAUUGGUGUGAUAACUAUCUACGCUUUUGAAUGUAA
Molecule: ribosomal RNA, 488 nt
Filed under: uncultured Cortinarius
Lineage: Eukaryota; Fungi; Basidiomycota; Agaricomycetes; Agaricales; Cortinariaceae
Description: eukaryotic LSU rRNA
Rfam family: 5.8S ribosomal RNA (bases 191-344)
Source: RNAcentral